UAUUAUCCCUACUUUUUUCUCCAUCGUUGGUUUUGUUCCGUUAUUAUAGUGCGGACAGUGCAUAGAUGUGAAUAUCUAAAAACAAAUGUAUAUAAAUUCCAACUUAUUUAUCUUUUUGUUUUUUUUUUUUUUGUUAUUCGGCUUCGCCGCGGUUGACAAUGUUUUCUCGGGAUACCAAUCUGCUCUAUCCCCCACUCAGCUAUGUGUUGUUAUAAAUUGUUCAACAUAGACUUUG
This 235-nucleotide long non-coding RNA is filed under the name Mytilus galloprovincialis (Mediterranean mussel). Lineage: Eukaryota; Metazoa; Mollusca; Bivalvia; Mytilida; Mytilidae. The record is from RNAcentral.